Molecule: unclassified non-coding RNA, 304 nt
Filed under: uncultured Agaricaceae
Lineage: Eukaryota; Fungi; Basidiomycota; Agaricomycetes; Agaricales; Agaricaceae
Description: sequence contains ITS2
Rfam family: 5.8S ribosomal RNA (bases 1-52)
Source: RNAcentral
AACGCACCUUGCGCUCCUUGGUAUUCCGAGGAGCAUGCCUGUUUGAGUGUCAGUAAAUUCUCAACCCCUCUGGUUUUUUGCUAGUUGGGGCUUGGAUGUUGGAGGUUUAUUGCUGGCCUGAAUCUUUCAAGGUCAGCUCCUCUAAAAUACAUUAGCAGAACCCUUUGCAAUCUGCUACAGGUGUGAUAAUUAUCAACAUCUAAGGUUGCUCUGUGUAUUGUUCAGCUACCAAUAGUCUGUAUGGACAAUAUUCAUUUACUGAACCUUUGACCUCAAAUCAGGUAGGACUACCCGCUGAACUUAA